This 492-nucleotide ribosomal RNA is filed under the name uncultured bacterium. RNAcentral describes it as "partial 16S ribosomal RNA". It matches the Rfam family "Bacterial small subunit ribosomal RNA", at positions 29 to 507 of the family's 1533-position model. The record is from RNAcentral.
AGUGAACGCUGGCGGUAGGCCUAACACAUGCAAGUCGAACGGCAGCACAGUAAGAGCUUGCUCUUACGGGUGGCGAGUGGCGGACGGGUGAGGAAUACAUCGGAAUCUACUUUUUCGUGGGGGAUAACGUAGGGAAAUUUACGCUAAUACCGCAUACGACCUACGGGUGAAAGCAGGGGAUCUUCGGACCUUGCGCGAUUGAAUGAGCCGAUGUCGGAUUAGCUAGUUGGCGGGGUAAAGGCCCACCAAGGCGACGAUCCGUAGCUGGUCUGAGAGGAUGAUCAGCCACACUGGAACUGAGACACGGUCCAGACUCCUACGGGAGGCAGCAGUGGGGAAUAUUGGACAAUGGGCGCAAGCCUGAUCCAGCCAUACCGCGUGGGUGAAGAAGGCCUUCGGGUUGUAAAGCCCUUUUGUUGGGAAAGAAAAGCAGCAGGUUAAUACCCCGCUGUUCUGACGGUACCCAAAGAAUAGGCACCGGCUAACUUCGUG